AGCGAACGCUGGCGGCAGGCUUAACACAUGCAAGUCGAGCGCCGUAGCAAUACGGAGCGGCAGAUGGGAGAGUAAUACGUGGGAACGUGCCCUUCAGUUCGGAACAACCCAGGGAAACUUAGGCUAAUACCGGAUACGUCCGCAAGGAAUAAGAUUUACCGUUGAAGGAUCGGCCCGCGACUGAUUAGCUAGUUGGUGGGGUAAGGGCCCACCAAGGCGACGAUCAGUAGCUGGUAUUAGAGGAUGAUUAGCCUCAAUGGGACAGAGACACGGCCCAGACUCCUACGGGAGGCAGCAGUGGGGAAUAUUGGACAAAGGGGGCAACCCUGAUCCAGCCAUGCCGCGUGGGUGAUGAAGGCCCUAGGGUUGUAAAGCCCUUUCGGCGGGGAAGAUAAUGACGGUACCCGCAGAAGAAGCCCCGGCUAACUUCGUGCCAGCCGCCGCCGUAA
Molecule: ribosomal RNA, 449 nt
Filed under: uncultured bacterium
Lineage: Bacteria
Description: partial 16S ribosomal RNA
Rfam family: Bacterial small subunit ribosomal RNA
Source: RNAcentral